GACGAACGCUGGCGGCGUGCUUAACACAUGCAAGUCGAACGCUGAAGCUCAGCUUUUGUUGGGUGGAUGAGUGGCGAACGGGUGAGUAACACGUGAGUAACCUGCCCCCUUCUUUGGGAUAACGCCCGGAAACGGGUGCUAAUACUGGAUAUUCACUGGUCUUCGCAUGGGGGUUGGUGGAAAGGGUUUUUCUGGUGGGGGAUGGGCUCGCGGCCUAUCAGCUUGUUGGUGGGGUGAUGGCCUACCAAGGCUUUGACGGGUAGCCGGCCUGAGAGGGUGACCGGUCACAUUGGGACUGAGAUACGGCCCAGACUCCUACGGGAGGGAGCAGUGGGGAAUAUUGCACAAUGGGCGCAAGCCUGAUGCAGCGACGCGGCGUGAGGGAUGGAGGCCUUCGGGUUGUGAAACUCUUUCGCUCAUGGUCAAGCCGCAACAAUGGUUGUGGUGAGGGUAGUGGGUAAAGAAGCGCCGGCUAACUACGUG
RNAcentral lists this ribosomal RNA (483 nucleotides) under uncultured bacterium. RNAcentral's name for it is "partial 16S ribosomal RNA". It matches the Rfam family "Bacterial small subunit ribosomal RNA", at positions 28 to 507 of the family's 1533-position model. The record is from RNAcentral.